Non-coding RNA from Pelobates cultripes (western spadefoot toad), 736 nucleotides. Lineage: Eukaryota; Metazoa; Chordata; Amphibia; Anura; Pelobatidae. The record is from the annotation of a GenBank genome assembly.
ACAAUUCUAAAACAUGGCACUAACCUUCUUCGCAGGCAUGACUUUAAAUAUCGCUGGAGGCCUUCCUGCGCACUCACCAUCCAACACGGGUCGGACUCUCACCAGAUCCGGGACCUGGGAUAUGUAGCAGCACUACUGCGGGCCUUGGGACUGCCCCAGGACUCACUUACUCAGACUGGUCCGCAGAGGGCAGCCUCUCCAAACCACACUUGGGACACAACAAGAACAGUCCCGUUCGUUCCACAAAACUGCUCUCUGAUGCAAUGUCUGUUCCUACUCGGACUGUAUCAGGCCAAUGUACAUGCCUAACCAGUAUGGAUUUGAUUAUAGCAUCUGUUUCAUUUUCAGUAUCAUAGGGGUUUGUUUAUUUGUUAACUGUAUGUUUUCACUUUAUUUUCACUUUUCUUUUUAAACAUAUUGUACUCUCCAGAUUAAUCAGAUGUUAUGCGCACCAGUUACCUAAAAUUCCUACGCUUGUCUACACAACGGGUUUAGUCGUAGGGGAUAGCUUGUCCCGUUCCCCAAGUCACUUUGUCUCCCCACCAAGUACCCCCUCCUGCACUAACACGUUAGAUGGAUCUCACUACCCAUACCUGCAUUGGGACACACGUAGUCCAAGUAACAUACCAUAGCAAAAAGACACGUCCUACAAAAGUCUAACCUGCAACAUACAGGCAGCCCCUAUUGGCAGCAAGCGUAAACCCGGGCUGACAUCCAUCACUCUGCAUCACUCUAU